CAGAAGGGUGCGUAACACGUGAGCAACUUGCCCGUAACAGGGGGAUAACCGAUGGAAACGUCGACUAAGACCCCGUAAAACCGAAGAGGCAUCUUUUUGGUUUGAAAAUUUCGAUGGUUACGGAUAGGCUCGCGGGAACAUUAGGCUAGUUGGCGGGGCAACGGCCCACCAAGGCGACGAUGUCUAGGGGUUCUGAGAGGAAGAUCCCCCACACUGGGACUGAGACACGGCCCAGACUCCUACGGGAGGCAGCAGUGAGGAAUAUUGGUCAAUGGGCGGAAGCCUGAACCAGCCAUGCCGGCGUGAAGGACUAAGGCCCUAUGGGUCGUAAACUUCUUUUAACGCAGAGCAAUAAGGGUCACGUGUGAUCCGAUGAGAGUAUGCGUGGAAUAAGCAUCCGGCUAACUCCGUGCC
RNAcentral lists this ribosomal RNA (414 nucleotides) under uncultured bacterium. RNAcentral's name for it is "bacterial SSU rRNA". It matches the Rfam family "Bacterial small subunit ribosomal RNA", at positions 99 to 509 of the family's 1533-position model. The record is from RNAcentral.